This 1061-nucleotide long non-coding RNA is filed under the name Homo sapiens (human). Its description in RNAcentral is "HSALNT0398859". Lineage: Eukaryota; Metazoa; Chordata; Mammalia; Primates; Hominidae. The record is from RNAcentral.
GAAUCCACCGGGGUGCAGCGAGGCUGUGGAAAGUCCCACCCAGAACGUGAGGUGAAGAAGGCUUGGGCUGCGCUGGUUCUGCUCUGUCCGGGUCGGAGAUGAACUGACCCGGGAGAGCAGCGGAGGGAUGUUUCUUUUGGCCAACAGUGGGGACUCACCUGCACGUUUUGCGAAGAGGCCCACAGUCCUUUGCGUGGCGCUCGGACUACAUUUCCCAACGGCCCCUGCACGCCCUGGGGGCUGUUCCAUGCGGUGUUGCGCCUGCGUAGCCGGCGGGCUGGCAGUGAGACUGACUGCGUCGGGGUUGAGACUGGGUGGAUGAGGCUCACCCCGGCGGGGAGAAGGGACGAGGAGGGGCGGACAGCGGAAGGUCCGGGAGUGUCCGCCAUAAAGUCGUUUGAGUUUUAACUUCUAGUCAUGGCGAAUGAUCGCAGGAGAGCACAGACUGGACCCUGCUACGAUCUCUCUUGGAGUGGAUCAGACUGAUGAUCACCAACAACCAACUCAUUCCCGGAUAAGGAAGAAGAGAGUGUCACCUACUUCAGUGUGGUUUCAACCCUACUUCUGCAUCUUAAAGACACUUGAACACUUGUGCUCCUUCCAACUUUGGGCUGUUGGGUGUCCUGCCACUGUUGCUCCUAGUGCUCAAUCUCGUUUAUUCCCUCCUAAUCAAGUGUACAACGUUGGACACUGUGCAGGAUGAUGCCACUUCAUCUUGGAUGCUAAUCUGCCAUGUUGACUUCUGAUUAACCCCAGGCCCAGGAAUGCCUCAAGAUUUCUACUUUACUUACUGUUGCUUGUGUAAGCCAAGACAACCUUGAUGUUAUCAUAAACAUGUACUUACCUAAGUCCUGUCCUUUGGCAAAUUAUGGGCUAUGAGACACAGCAUUCUUGCCUUUCCCUGAGGGGUCAAUUUCAGCGAUCCUACACAUUCCUUCUGAAGCACUUAUGCUCUUUCUAUAUGGUAUGUAAGCUCUCGGUCUGGGGAGUAACAGUGCAGAGAUCUACCUGUCUUGUUGCCACAUGUUUCUAAACUUUCCAAUAAAUCACCUUCUACUGAC